AGCUUUGCACAGUGUGGCGUUAUCAUAGCCCAUGAGGUUUGUCUGAGGUACGAUUAUUGCUAAUUGAAAAAAAUAAUGUUAAAAUAGUGAAUUUUAUCUUAGAAUUAAAAAAAAAAAAUUAAAAGGUCUUUGGCCUCAGUUAGUCCUG
Hyaena hyaena (striped hyena) is the source of this 148-nucleotide small nuclear RNA. RefSeq annotates it as U4 spliceosomal RNA. Lineage: Eukaryota; Metazoa; Chordata; Mammalia; Carnivora; Hyaenidae. The record is from RefSeq and is a predicted model, not a curated record. The transcript has a single exon.